This 274-nucleotide ribosomal RNA is filed under the name uncultured Staphylococcus sp. RNAcentral describes it as "partial 16S ribosomal RNA". It matches the Rfam family "Bacterial small subunit ribosomal RNA", at positions 89 to 355 of the family's 1533-position model. Lineage: Bacteria; Bacillati; Bacillota; Bacilli; Caryophanales; Staphylococcaceae. The record is from RNAcentral.
AUGUUAGCGGCGGACGGGUGAGUAACACGUGGGUAACCUACCUAUAAGACUGGGAUAACUCCGGGAAACCGGGGCUAAUACCGGAUAAUAUUUUGAACCGCAUGGUUCAAUAGUGAAAGACGGUUUCGGCUGUCACUUAUAGAUGGACCCGCGCCGUAUUAGCUAGUUGGUAAGGUAACGGCUUACCAAGGCGACGAUACGUAGCCGACCUGAGAGGGUGAUCGGCCACACUGGAACUGAGACACGGUCCAGACUCCUACGGGAGGCAGCAGCC